This 500-nucleotide ribosomal RNA is filed under the name uncultured bacterium. Its description in RNAcentral is "partial 16S ribosomal RNA". It matches the Rfam family "Bacterial small subunit ribosomal RNA", at positions 29 to 523 of the family's 1533-position model. The record is from RNAcentral.
AUUGAACGCCGGCGGCAUGCCUUACACAUGCAAGUCGAACGGCAGCGCGGACUUCGGUCUGGCGGCGAGUGGCGGACGGGUGAGUAAUACAUCGGAACGUCCCCUGUUGUGGGGGACAACUAGUCGAAAGAUUAGCUAAUACCGCAUACGACCGGAGGGUGAAAGUGGGGGACCGCAAGGCCUCACGCCGCAGGAGCGGCCGAUGUCUGAUUAGCUAGUUGGUGGGGUAAAGGCCCACCAAGGCGACGAUCAGUAGCUGGUCUGAGAGGACGAUCAGCCACACUGGGACUGAGACACGGCCCAGACUCCUACGGGAGGCAGCAGUGGGGAAUUUUGGACAAUGGGGGCAACCCUGAUCCAGCAAUGCCGCGUGUGUGAAGAAGGCCUUCGGGUUGUAAAGCACUUUUGUCCGGAAAGAAAUCGCGCUGGUUAAUACCUGGCGUGGAUGACGGUACCGGAAGAAUAAGCACCGGCUAACUACGUGCCAGCCGCCGCCGUAA